Non-coding RNA from Durio zibethinus, 1503 nucleotides. The record is from RefSeq and is a predicted model, not a curated record. Lineage: Eukaryota; Viridiplantae; Streptophyta; Magnoliopsida; Malvales; Malvaceae.
AUACGACAAAAUUACCAUCCACUCCUUCGUAAAAAGAAGUAGCAAGCAGACUGUGAAGAAGUUAUCGACGGGAAGAGAAGAGGUGGGAGACUAGAGUAAUCAAAUCAAAUCACUUCAUCUUCGUUCCUCACGAUUCUCUUUGCUUUCGCCAAACAAACAGAGAUUCGUAGAUUCUCUCUCUUGUCUCACUGCCUUAUUCGGAUUUCGUAACCAAUGGCUUUGCCUAACCAACACACUGUUGAUUAUCCGAGCUUCAAGCUCGUCCUUGUCGGCUAUGGAGGCACUGUUCGUUUUAAGAGGCAUCCGACUGGAGAGUUUGAAAAAAAACCGAGCUAAGUGUUUUACCGACAUUGUUUGUGGGAAAGUUCUCUUUUGAUUUAUGAGCCGUUUCAGCAAUUGAUUGGCUUGUUAUCGGUGUUCACUUAAGUGUUUUAUCAUUUUGAUUAUACAGCAACCAUUGAUGUGGUGGUUCACCCAUUGGACUUCUUCACUAACUGUGGAAAAAUCCGUUUUUACUGCUCGGAUACUUCUAGACAGGCGAAGUUUGGUCCUGUCAUAGAUGGUUACUUCUUUAUGUAACUAUGUUGUUGCAAAUGUGGGGUCUGUGGGAAUGUUCCUAUUGUUCUUUGCGGUAACAAGGUUGAUGAAAAGAACAGGCUGGUCAAGUCGAAGCUGGUCACAGUCUGCAGGUAGAAGAAUCUGUAAUAUUAUGAAAUUUCUGCCAAGAGCAACUACAAUUUUGAGAAGCCUUUCUUGUACCUUGCCAGGAAGCUUGCUGGUGAUCCUAAUCUUCACUUUGUGGAGUCUCCUGCUUUUGUUCCUCCAGAAGUGCACAUUGACUUGGCUGCACAACAAUGACAUGAAGCUGAACUUGCAGCAGGCAGCCAGCCAGCCAGCCCCAUCCAGAUGACGAUGAUGAUAUAUUUGAAUAGAGGGUUUUCACUGCUUGAGGGGCUUCUUCAACAUUUUCUGCUACUUUAAAUCUUGCCUUCAUUUGGAUGUGCUGUCAUCUUCUUAAUAUUUUCAGAUUAUAUGGUGGAGUUGUCUGUCAGCUUAUUGAGGACGGCAGACCAAUGUAGCUAAGAUUUUUGGCAUAUAUUUGUUUUGGGGUCUUUGGUCGUGUUUUGUUAUUGUUGGUUGCCAUGUUGGUGUUCUGAAUUUUGCUUUCAGUAAAAUUAAUGCCCUAAUUCCUAUAUAUUUUGAAUUUGAAUCAAUUAGUGAGAAGAAUAUUCCAAUUCUCCUAUGACCAAAAUUUUCUUUGGGUGCUUGUGUGUAUAGCCAUGCCAUUCCCCAUGUAAUGUUAAGAUAGUUAAAAAAUGCGGUUUAGGUCCAGGAUGGUCGGCUGCCAUCCUUAAUGGGCUUGAAAUGAACACUGCUGAGUGCUGACCGUGGUUUGUAGUCUGAGAAGCUGAAGCAGCGAACCACCCGAUAUUUCCUUACCGCCUCUGAAGCACUGGGUUUCAAAAUCUCGUAUCUUAACGAUUGACAUGUUCAAAGUUACGA